Long non-coding RNA from Saccostrea echinata, 180 nucleotides. RefSeq lists it as uncharacterized. The record is from RefSeq and is a predicted model, not a curated record. NCBI's taxonomy places the organism in Eukaryota, Metazoa, Mollusca, Bivalvia, Ostreida, Ostreidae. The transcript has 2 exons.
AGGUUAAAGGGUUAAAGAAGCAGUUUAUGAUGCUACAUGUAUGACAAAACAUUGUUCUUUACAUGAAGUGUAUGAAAGAAAAGGGCGCAGUCCUGUGGCGUGGCAUUUUCGGUCUUGGAAAAAGGAUCUCUGAUGACAACACGUUGGUCGUUACGUUUUGAAUUACAUUCAUAAUGUCAG